UGAGGAAUUUUCUGCAAUGGGCGAAAGCCUGACAGAGCAAUACCGCGUGAGGGACGAAAGCCUGCGGGUUGUAAACCUCUUUUCUCAAGGAAGAAGAUCUGACGUUACUUGAGGAAUAAGCAUCGGCUAACCCUGUGCCAGCAGCCGCGGUAAUACAGGGGAUGCAAGUGUUAUUCGGAAUCAUUGGGCGUAAAGCGUCUGUAGGUUGGCGAUCAAGUCCUUUGUUAAAUUUUUGGGCUUAACCUAAAGCAUGCAAAAGAAACUAAUUGCCUAGAGUCUGUUAGAGGUAAAGGGAAUUUCCAGUGGAGCGGUGAAAUGCGUAGAUAUUGGAAGGAACACCAAAGGCGAAGGCACUUUACUGGGUCAGCACUGACACUGAGAGACGAAAGCUAGGGGAGCAAACGGGAUUAGAUACCCCCGUAGUCC
Molecule: ribosomal RNA, 426 nt
Filed under: uncultured bacterium
Lineage: Bacteria
Description: bacterial SSU rRNA
Rfam family: Bacterial small subunit ribosomal RNA
Source: RNAcentral